This 28-nucleotide small RNA is filed under the name Bombyx mori (domestic silkworm). RNAcentral's name for it is "ovarian small RNA-24590". The record is from RNAcentral. Lineage: Eukaryota; Metazoa; Arthropoda; Insecta; Lepidoptera; Bombycidae.
UCAACAUGACAGCCGACAUGUGUGCUGC